UACGAAGGGGGGCUAGCGUUGCUCGGAAUCACUGGGCGUAAAGGGUGCGUAGGCGGGUCUUUAAGUCAGGGGUGAAAUCCUGGAGCUCAACUCCAGAACUGCCUUUGAUACUGAAGAUCUUGAGUUCGGGAGAGGUGAGUGGAACUGCGAGUGUAGAGGUGAAAUUCGUAGAUAUUCGCAAGAACACCAGUGGCGAAGGCGGCUCACUGGCCCGAUACUGACGCUGAGGCACGAAAGCGUGGGAAGCAAACAGG
Molecule: ribosomal RNA, 254 nt
Filed under: uncultured bacterium
Lineage: Bacteria
Description: partial 16S ribosomal RNA
Rfam family: Bacterial small subunit ribosomal RNA
Source: RNAcentral